UCAGAAUGAACGCUGGCGGCGUGCUUAACACAUGCAAGUCGAACGGUAACAGGAGGAAGCUUGCUUUCUUGCUGACGAGUGGCGCACGGGUGAGUAAUGCAUAGGUAACGUGCCCCUUAGUCUGGGAUAGCCACUGGAAACGGUGAUUAAUACUAGAUACGCCUUCUCUCUUAAUGAGAGUCGGGAAAGUUUUUCGCUAAGGGAUCGGCCUAUGUUGUAUCAGGUAGUUGGUGAGGUAAUGGCUCACCAAGCCUAUGACACAUAGCGGGUCUGAGAGGAUGAUCCGCCACACUGGUACUGAGACACGGACCAGACUCCUACGGGAGGCAGCAGUGGGGAAUAUUGCACAAUGGACGAAAGUCUGAUGCAGCAACGCCGCGUGGAGGAUGACACAUUUCGGUGCGUAAACUCCUUUUAUAUGAGAAGAUAAUGACGGUAUCAUAUGAAAUAAGCACCGGCUAACUCCGUGCCCAGCAGCCGCGGUAAUACGGAGGGUGCAAGCGUUAUUCGGAAUCACUGGGCGUAAAGGGUGCGUAGGCGGUUUGGAAAGUCAGGUGUGAAAGCCAACAGCUUAACUGUUGAACUGCACUUGAAACUUCCAGACUAGAAUACUGAAGGGGCAGAUGGAAUUAGUGGUGUAGGGGUAAAAUCCGUAGAUAUCACUAGGAAUACCGAAAGCGAAAGCGAUCUGCUGGGAAGUUAUUGACGCUGAGGCACGAAAGCGUGGGGAGCAAACGGGAUUAGAUACCCCGGUAGUCCACGCCCUAAACGAUGAAUGCUAGUCGUCGGAAAGCUCGUCUUUUCGGUGAUG
This 811-nucleotide ribosomal RNA is filed under the name uncultured bacterium. Its description in RNAcentral is "bacterial SSU rRNA". It matches the Rfam family "Bacterial small subunit ribosomal RNA", at positions 24 to 848 of the family's 1533-position model. The record is from RNAcentral.